AAGAUGUGUGCAUGUAUAUAUACAGUAUUUAUAUGUGUGUGUGUGUGUGUGUGUGUGUGUGUGUGCUUGUGUGUACAUAUUUAUUUUUAUAAUAAACUUAACUAUUAUUGUUAGCUAACUAGACAGUGUUAUAAAAUCUAUUUCUCUUGUUAUAUUGUAUUACAAUUAUUAAUAUGUUUGAUGAUUAGAGUUGUCACUACAACACAGAUAACAGUUAAAACAUGAUGAAUUAGGGCUUACUAACACAGUAUGGACAUAAUCAAUACAUUUAAUCAAGUUCAAUAAAGUAUAAAUUACCAUUAACCCACACUCCUCUGGAACCUACAAUGGAAAAGUGCCAUUUUACUGCCAGAGAAUGAAAGUGAAUCUUCCUCUGACCAAGCUAGACCUAUUUUUGUUUGGCUAUUUACGAUGCACUCGCUGGAAAUCAAUUAACCCCUAGAUUUUCUCUCUAUUGGCUGCUUGCAGAGGCUCCACAGUAGCUGUUUCUCAACAACCCUCAGGGGAAAGAAAAAUCACCCUGAGAUCAAUAUGGUUCAGUGCUGAGCCAGGCACAAAGAUUCACAUCACUUGAUAUUGGGAGACCUUCUCAACAGACAGUUUGCUGUAGCCUGGGUGCAUCAACAACAACAACAACAAUUUCAACAACAACAGCUACUACAGUAUAAAACCUUGCUGUCAGAAAUCCUGAGCUGUUUCUUUGGAAACCUGAAGCUGUGAGGAACUGCAGGUUUCUGUGAAAAGCUAAAGGCUCUCAGUCUCUCAUACUACAGCAAAAUAACCAUGAUGAGGCAACCAGGAAACACAAGAUUCUUAUUCUUCUUUUGAUUUCCUGGUGGAUCCCAAACAACUUUAACAAAGGUGCAUACCGCCACCUACUGUACAAGAGCAUGUAACCAGAAUCAGAAUCAGCUUUAUUGCCAAGUAGGUUUACACAUACCAGAAAUUUGCUUUGGUAUUUUGGUGCCUGACAAUAAACAUAGUAGAAACAUAAAGAAGUAUGAAGAAACAUAAAGCAGCAGGUCAAGAAUCGUAACUAUUAAAUAUAUAUGUACAAUAUGACGAUAUGUUAUUUAAGUUACAGCAUGUGCAAUGUGCAACAUAUUUACUUGUGAAUGUGCAAAAGUUUAUAUUAUUACUGUACAAUAUUUCUUAAAUUCUUCCUACCAGCUUUGUGUCACUUAAGAAUGUAAUGAGUGCCUUCCUAGUGGCUCUUACCCCCUCUUCCUCUCCUCCUGUUCCCAGUAUCCCCAUCAGAUUCCAGCCCCUCCCUGCCUCUCGGCCUCUAUCACGUAACCUUUCUCUUUCUGCUGCAUACAUAGUGUAGCGCAAUAUGAUAUGAUCCACUUUUUCUUUGACUCCACAGUUCCCACAUUUGUCACUGUUCCUUUUCCCCAGUACAAACAUAGUGCCAUUUAAUCCUGUGUGAUCCAGUCUGAGUCUUGUUAUGAUGAUUUGCUCCCUUCUGUUCCUUUCGUUAUAGCUCUUUGUUAAGACCGACUUUUGCAUUUGGUGAUUUAUCCUUCCUUUCUGGUCUUUCUCCCACUUUUUCUGCAAUAUCUCCAUUCCUUUCUUCUUAAUCACUGCUUUUCCUUCUCCUUUUCCAAGUGGAACUGGUACUUUUAUUACCUUUUGCAAUGCACUUUUUGCUAGUUUAUCAGCACACUCAUAACUGAACAUCUCAGAACUGAACAUCUAUACCACCUCUAUGAAGUCUUAGCAAGCUAUAGUAAAGUUCAAUGAGCAAAUCGUAUUAGUGAGAGAAUUGUGAUAACUAUCCCUGAGGUACAUUCUCUUUUCUUUUCCAAAAUACUCAUGUCUAUCUUAAUUUCUGGGAAAAGCCAAGGGGGUAUGCUGCUACCUGGGGUUGACUUAAUAGCUCCUAUACAUACACAUAAUGCUCUAUACUGUAGUCUAUCCACUUUUUACAACGAUGUCUUUGCUGCUGCUCCAUAUACUAUACAACCAUAAUCUAUUGUUGACCUCAUAAUCACCCUAUAAAUGUCAACUGAUGCCUUUUUAUCUGCCCCCAGCCACAGCUCGUAGAAGGUUUAUGCCUUUUUUGGAUUUUGUUAGUUUUUGAGAUGUGCUUUCCAUAUCUAGCCAUAUACCCAGGUACUUCAAUUCAGACACCCUCUCCAUCAGCUGACCAUAUAUUAGCUUCUCAGCAUCAAUCUUGCGCUUGUUUGUAAACAUCAUGUAACACGACUUACUCAUAUGACCACUUUCUCUAUUGCUUUCCUUGUAUUCUCUAACAUAUAAGGUAUAUUCUUUCCCCUCAUCCGUAUGGCCCCAUCGUCUGCAGUUAGUGCUUAUUUUCUGUAGCGCUUCUGUGUAUGAAACUUUUUCAUUAUCUUAACUCUCUGGGCUUCUCUGGCUUCUCACUGUACACUGCCUCCAAACGCAGCACUGUGCUCUCCUCCGCAGUUACAGCACGUAACCUUGGCAUCCUUUUCACAUUUUCCGUACUCACGUUGGCCUCCACAUCUUGCACACCUUAGCUUUCCUUCACACUGCUGUGCCGUGUGCCCCAGUCUUUGGCAUGCAUAGCACCUGAGUGGUUUGGGAAUGUAUUCCCUCACUCUGUAGUUCAUGUAACCCAUUUGCACUGACUUAGGCAGAGUUUUCUCAAACUGAACUACUACAGAUAGGGUAACCUUCAGUUAGCCAUCCCUUUUACUCUUAAUCCUUGUGGCAUCUAUUACUUUGCCUCCUUGGAUCUCAUUUUUAACAUCUUCCAUUGACAUACUCAGUGAGACAAACACACAUGAGGCAAAGCAGGAAUGAUGAAGGGAAAUGUACUCGAGGCAGCGGUCACAAAAAAUCUUACAGGUUAACAGGAAGGCAGUCCAAACAGUCAAACAAAUGAAGGUGUGGUGAUGGAAAAGGUGGGAAAGGGGAUACUGCAGGGCAGGAGGGAGUGGCUGGAUCUGAAAUCACAGGGGACUGGGAGAGGUGGGAAAGUCUGAGAGCAUACGGUGGAUGGAUGGAGAAUGGCAAUGCCCCCCACAUGUACUCACUCCUACAGAUAA
This is a long non-coding RNA of Siniperca chuatsi (mandarin fish), 3032 nucleotides long. RefSeq lists it as uncharacterized. The record is from RefSeq and is a predicted model, not a curated record. The transcript is spliced from 2 exons. NCBI's taxonomy places the organism in Eukaryota, Metazoa, Chordata, Actinopteri, Centrarchiformes, Sinipercidae.